RNAcentral lists this long non-coding RNA (978 nucleotides) under Gossypium raimondii (Peruvian cotton). RNAcentral describes it as "long non-coding RNA (GRAI_LNC005068)". The record is from RNAcentral. Lineage: Eukaryota; Viridiplantae; Streptophyta; Magnoliopsida; Malvales; Malvaceae.
CUUCCUUCACUACUAAAUUUAAUAUAUAUAUAAAUAAGGUUUAAGGAUUUUAAUUUUCCAUAGACAUCCAAAAAUGAAUGGUUCCUAAAUUUUAUCGUAAACUAUACAUAGUUAAGUGUCUUCAAGUUAUAAAUUUCAAUCAUACCGUAAUGGUUUUUAGAGAUGUGCAGCAUCAUUGUAGUAUUCUCUUAUGGCUUGGCUUCACAACAUUAUUUGUAUAGGCAUGCUCGAUGAGAUAAAUCAUUCUCCAAUUACGGGACAUUAGUUUUCAUCACGCAAGGCAAAUUGAAAGCACCGUUCAUUGCCCCUAUACCCUCUAAAUCUCUCAAUUUUCCGUUGGUUUGAAGGUAAAAAUAGAACACUCAAACUAUAAAAUCAAUUUCUAUAGUUUAAAUGAUCCGAAUAUCGUGACCAUGAACAACAAUUGAUACACAACGUUCAUUAUCUCAAACUGUAUCUGGUAUACAUAUACAUGACUUCCAAAGAAAGAAAAAAUAAAUAAAUAAAUAAGAAUUGCUCUGCGUCUGCGCUAAGAUUGAGGAAAUUUUUUUGCGUUAACUUAAUUAAUAUUCAAGAUCUGCAAAAAUAAAUAAAUAAAAAUAUAAAAUAAAAUCAGUUGUGGAGGGGGUUUGGUCCGCCUGGAACUGUUCGAUAUGAAACUUCAUAAAUCGGUCGACUAAUCUUUUCUGCAACAGAUGGCUGUGGCGACUUAGCUGCUGGGAAAUGGAACCAUGUUGUUGAGAGCUCCGCCGCCAUGGUGGUUGGUUCUUCAGGGUUUAUAGUUUUAAGGGUGUAGCGGCGGCAACUUGAGAGGUUGAUGGUGGAAAAAAUGAUGGUGAAGAAGAUGAAUAUGAAUUUGGGGUUACAAAUGAUGAUCAUGAUGAUGGAAAUGAGAAGAUGGUUUAUGGAAAUUGGGUUUUAAAGAAAAGAGAGGUCGAGUGUAUUUAAUGGGAGAUCAUGGUGAAAUAUGAAGUCAAA